This 440-nucleotide ribosomal RNA is filed under the name uncultured bacterium. RNAcentral describes it as "partial 16S ribosomal RNA". It matches the Rfam family "Bacterial small subunit ribosomal RNA", at positions 338 to 795 of the family's 1533-position model. The record is from RNAcentral.
CCUACGGGAGGCAGCAGUAGGGAAUAUUGCUCAAUGGGGGAAACUCUGAAGCAGCCAUGCCGCGUGGAGGAUGAAGGUUCUCUGAGUUUUAACUUCCUUUUUUAGAGAAGUUAACGUCAGUAUCUAUCUUCUACUGCCCGGCCAACUCCGUUCCAGCCGCGGCGGUACUACGGAGGGUGCAAGCGUUACUCGGAAUCACUGGGCGUAAAGCGUGCGUAGGCGGGUUAGCAAGUCAGAUGUGAAAUCCUAUGGCUUAACCAUAGAACUGCAUGUGAUACUGUUAUUCUAGAGAAUGGAAGAGGUAGGUGGAAUGCUUGGUGUAGGGGUAAAAUCCGUAGAGAUCAAGAGGAAUACUGAUUGCGAAGGCGACCUACCAGAACAUAUCUGACGUUGAGGCGCGAAAGCGUGGGGAGCAAACAGGAUUAGAUACCCCGGUAGUC